AAUUUUGGACAAUGGGGGCAACCCUGAUCCAGCCAUGCCGCGUGUGUGGAGAAGGUCUUCGGAUUGUAAAGCACUUUAAGUUGGGAGGAAAGGCUUUAGGCUAAUACCCUGAAGUUUUGACGUUACCAACAGAAUAAGCCCCGGCUAACUCUGUGCCAGCAGCCGCGGUAAUACAGAGGGUGCAAGCGUUAAGCGGAAUUACUGGUCGUAAAGGGAGCGUAGGGUGUGUAGUAAGAUGGGUGGGAAAUCCCCGGGCUUAACCUGGGAACUGCUUUCAUAACUGAUGAGCUAGAGUACGGUAGAGGGUAGUGGAAUUUCCUGUGUAGCGGUGAAAUGCAUAGAUAUAGGAAGGAACACCAAUGGCGAAGGCGACUACCUGGACUGAUACUGACACUGAGGUGCGAAAGCGUGGGGAGCAAACA
Molecule: ribosomal RNA, 422 nt
Filed under: uncultured bacterium
Lineage: Bacteria
Description: partial 16S ribosomal RNA
Rfam family: Bacterial small subunit ribosomal RNA
Source: RNAcentral